RNAcentral lists this long non-coding RNA (605 nucleotides) under Microcebus murinus (gray mouse lemur). RNAcentral describes it as "lncRNA (ENSMICG00000048668.1)". Lineage: Eukaryota; Metazoa; Chordata; Mammalia; Primates; Cheirogaleidae. The record is from RNAcentral.
CCAACAUAAACAGCUGUGUAACACCUCAUCGCCAGUACUCACACUUGAUGUGAUCUACAUGACGAUAUCAAGAGGGAUGGAAGUUAAUAGUGUUCUCAUCAUGUAACACCACCAGCCUUGUCUACCCCUCUGCAAACCUCAGCCUCAUCACCCUCUCCAAGGUGACAUGAGGGAGAGAUGAGUCUCCUUGUGAAACUGCUAUAUGUGUCAACAGUUCACAUAUCCCUGGACAGAAAACCAGUCGAGCUAGAUGGAGAGUUAGAGUCACAACGCUAUUCAGAGUUUACCUUGGCCUCUUUGUGGGAGAGCAAUGGCGUCCAGGUGCCCCUUAACCAUUGGAAACAUUGUGGUUGGAGAGAGUUGGCACAGAUGUCCCAGUCACAGCCUCCCUCGGGCUUCUCAUUUCCCUAUUGGCUCAUCAAUCCACUGGCCAGAAGGAGACCUGCAUUGGAUGCUGUAUUGGAAGUCCAGGUCAGGAUAUUUUCCUUGAUUUCUCAGACUCCACCAGAGAGCCCUUCAGCAUCAUGGCUGGAUUCCACCCAUACUAGAUAUAUCUGCCUUUGUCUAAGGUUUGUGAUUCAUGGUCCCUGCUGUGGGCGGUUUAC